This is a long non-coding RNA of Sipha flava (yellow sugarcane aphid), 2470 nucleotides long. RefSeq lists it as uncharacterized. The transcript has 3 exons. The record is from RefSeq and is a predicted model, not a curated record. NCBI's taxonomy places the organism in Eukaryota, Metazoa, Arthropoda, Insecta, Hemiptera, Aphididae.
AAGACUAGUCGCGGUCGUUGUUAAAUUAUGAUUGUUACUGUUAUUCGUAUCCUUAUUGGUGUUUACAUUAUUGCUACGGCGAUGGUUCGGAGAGUCAGUCAGUCUUUUCGGAAACUGCGCGUACCGUGCCACGCUCGCUUGUGACAUGGUAGUGUAUAUAGUACGCGUAAUAAGUAACGAGAAACGCGAUACGAAUUGUUCGACGUUCCUGGUUUUUUUUUUCUCCGUCGCCCUGCGAACACUAUUGAUUUUAUUCGGUUUAUUCCCUUCCGGUCAAAUUUUAUUUCAUGUUAAGAACAUUGCAGAUGAAUGCAGAAGUGAUGCAGAAUGAUCCAGAAUAUAUGAUAUACUUCAACUUUUAAGAGCAUAAAAGUUCAACAAAUGUUUAGGAUUCCAAAUACAUAUAUAACACAAUGGUGUAUUACAAACAUCUUAAACUGAAUGCUACUUUCGGAAUGCAAUAGAAGGUCCAAAUAUCGAGUGAACGAUUUUAUAUUAAAUGGUCAGCAGAGAUCUUACUUAGAAUACGAUAAAAUAUUUUCUGAGAUGCAGUCUUAACAAUUCAUUAUAAACUUGUGAAUAUAAAACUGUUACAAGUAAAUACAUUUGUUUGAGAGAUGGUGAACUACGGAAAAAUUAACCUCUUAAGAAAAAUUUAACACUAUACAAUCAGCGACAAAUCCGAUAAGAAACAUUAUACAAGCUGUGGCAAUUUAUUUUAUAUAUCAACGAUAUUAUAUAUACUAUAUAGUACGUAACAUGUACCUAUGCGUACAUCGUUUAAUUAUUUAGAUUAUAUUGCGUCUUGCGCACAAAAUAGUAAGGUAGUCUAUUUGUAUUUUUAAGUUUUACUUACAUCAUUUUUUAACAUACUAAAAAUUUCUUUACUUUUGAUAAUUUUUCUUGUCGCAGCUUACAUACAGCCAUUUGUUUUUCACGAUUAAAUUUAAAUCUAUGGUUUACGAUAAGAAAAAUUUAGGUCACCUAGGACGCUUCAUUGUUAACACGGAUACAAACAAAAUAAAAUACUAGUGAAUUACAUUUGUACUCGAGUACAGCAUUUGACCUAACCCAACGCAGUGAACUGUGGAUACAUAUUGAAAAUUAGUAUUUCCCCUCCCCCUCCUCUUUUCGAAAAUUAACCGUUCGGAAAUAACCGGUAAUAUUCGUUAAUUUAUUUAUUUUUUUCUUCUUACUGUUCCUCUGUUUCUUCUCUUGUUUCUGUUCACCGUACAGUAGUAACAUGCGCGCGUAUACGUAUACGAUAAUGUAUUCACGGUGUAAAGAACGUAACCGAACGCGUAUAAUAUACGGCGGUCCCUAGACGUACGCUUACACCGGGCGAAUGAUAAUGAUUAUAAUAACUGUUGCACGCGUCUGUUGUAAUUGCCGGAGAAAGAAAGGAGAACCUAUUCCUUUCGGCGGCGGCGUCCCCCGUCGCGUGACGGCCGGAGAUCGUAAGACCGCGAAACGUCUUCCGCGUGUUCAGCGACUAUGACGGCGGCGGCUGCUGCUGCUGCUACUGUCGCUCCGACGCGUGCGUCUAACGUAUAUUGUCUCCCGGACCAUGACACCAGAACAUUGUUAUACAGAGCGCGUGCUCAAGUACAGGCACCCAAUGCCUAACCGGGUCGUUCGGUAAAAUGGGAAGAUUCUGACAGGGAUAAAAAAAAAAAAAAUGUGUUUCGUACAUUUUUGUUGUCGGGAACAUAAUCAACACUAUGUUUGCCAUUAGCCAAACCCAUUAAGAUGGUCGGAAAAAUAUCGCGUCUCAAAACCGAUGCUCGUAAGAUAAUGGUGUUCACUGUAAUCCAUUCCUAAAAUGAGCGUUGUCCGAUUUAAACAAAUUGUCAACGAAACGGGGUUAGAUGGUUAUAUUUUUCGUACUUUCUCCGAUGAACCAUGGUCGCAGAUAAUUGUUUAAAAUUUCCUAGAAGACCCUGUGCAAGAGUUAUUUAGUUCGAUCGCAUUGUAUGCAGUGUAAUAUCAAUAUGUAUACUCGUAAGUGUGAAACGAACGCGAUGAUGUCGUUACAGAGAAGCUCGUGUCCAGCCAGGUGGGGAUCGCUGCGUCCAAGGCCAAGAAAGGGAUGAUCGCGCCGCGUCUUGAAUAGAACAUUGUGUUAUAAUACAGCGCGUGCGCACCGGGCGCGAGUGUGCAUCGUAUCAAGCAAACCUUAUAUCCGGUCCAUUAUACGCGUGCGUACAAUAAUUGGCUACCGAUGACGAGCGAUUUAAUCGAAACUUGAAUGUUACCACGCGCCGCUGACAAUACAUAUAACAUAUUAUUGCCGUUGGUCAUGUCAUACCUCUUACUUCGACAAUACUUCGGUGUUCGUACAAUAUUUAUUUUAGUAAGUUCAAGCAAGCUACUGAAUGUAGUAAGCCCAAGGCUAGGCGUAUUUUAUAAUCAGCAUUUAAUUAAUCAAUAUUUAAUAAUCAAAAAUAACUUAUUACGCAUAUUAAUAAAU